Molecule: long non-coding RNA, 1239 nt
Organism: Aethalodelphis obliquidens (Pacific white-sided dolphin)
Lineage: Eukaryota; Metazoa; Chordata; Mammalia; Artiodactyla; Delphinidae
Exons: 2
Source: RefSeq, a predicted model, not a curated record
GCCAGCCGCCUGGCCACAGCUGUCGCCUCCUGUCUCUGGAUGCAGUUUGCUCAGGUGUAAAGGCUCGAGGUUUGACGAGGUGGUCUUGGUUCGACUUCCCGUUGUCCCUAAUGUCCUGUGACUCAUUCUAAACAGGGAAGGGCGGAGAAAAGGAGGAAAUGGAAGAAGAGAAGGAGAAGGUGGAAAGCAGGUGGCUGAGGCUUCUUCAAAAAGAAGAGAGGAAAACGAGGAAGGCUGCCACAACAAAGAGGAAAACAACACAGAUUUGCCGAAAGUAUUCCUCACAGAGGUGCUAAUCUUGUCUGCACUGGACCGGGACCAUAUCCUGAAUCCCUUUGCAUCUCUAGCAUGAACCACGGACACUGGGCUGCACUGGCCCUCAAGAACAGUUUGUUGAGCCACAGGUAAAGGAAAUCAUCAGCUUUCUUAGGGGUGGUGAUCUGAAGAGUGGGAGCAAGGAAGGGACGACUGGGCUGAAGUGAAGACAGAGGACCCGGCUCUCGCUGUGAUCCCUGUGUUUCCUGGACAUGAAUGGCAAGGUGUUUGGGUGCUAAUUUCUUGCCCCCUGUGCUCCCCGUAAGCUGGCCCCCCGUGUGACUGCAGGGAACACCUUGGCAAAGAGCCUUCUUCAAAGUGUCUCAGCAUGAUGGGGAGCGGGCAUCGCUGCCAGUCACGGAGGACAUGUGUUUCCGGAACCACUGAGUUCCAACCAGUAGCCUCGCCGAGUUCUGGCAAUCUGCGUGUGAACUGUGCCCUACUGCAAAGUGUACCCAGCUUGGGGGCGGGGGGCGGUCACCCCCUCCUUUGAAACUGCUGUUCCUCUCCAUUUGCUGCUGCAGAUGCCAACACAAUUCUUGUUGCAUUAACUUGGCUGGGAGAGUGAGGAAAUGGCAGCAGCAUUAAUUAAAAAUAAUGUGCCACCCAGGAGAUAGCUUGAGCUCACUCCCUCUCUUAGUAUUCCUCUCGAUUCCUUUCCUUCCAGCUUGUGGCUGACGCGCUAUAGGUGCCAGGGAGGGGAACCCGCGAUGUUCAGUAGAAAGAUGACAGAAGAGUGAGAGAUUAGAGAGAGGGGCUCCAAAUGUGAUGAAAAUGUUCAAUCUUAGAGGUAUCUGUAAGGCAGAUUUUUGAAGGCACUAAAAAGAAUAGUAAAAAAAUCAGGGGGAAAGAAUUGGAUUCCUGAAGUUAGGGGGACAAGGGAAGGAUUGGCAGAAAGUGGUAUAAGUGGAUACUUUUAAAAAA